This 142-nucleotide small nuclear RNA is filed under the name Pogona vitticeps (central bearded dragon). RNAcentral describes it as "U1 spliceosomal RNA (ENSPVIG00000016551.1)". It matches the Rfam family "U1 spliceosomal RNA". From Rfam's summary of the family: U1 is a small nuclear RNA (snRNA) component of the spliceosome (involved in pre-mRNA splicing). Its 5' end forms complementary base pairs with the 5' splice junction, thus defining the 5' donor site of an intron. There are significant differences in sequence and secondary structure between metazoan and yeast U1 snRNAs, the latter being much longer (568 nucleotides as compared to 164 nucleotides in human). The record is from RNAcentral. Lineage: Eukaryota; Metazoa; Chordata; Lepidosauria; Squamata; Agamidae.
ACACCUGUUUGGCUGAAAAACAAAGUGGUUUUCCCAGGGCGAGGUUUAUCUAUUGCACUUUGGAUGUGCUGACCCCUGUGGUUUCCCCAAAUGUGGGAAAAUCAACUGCCUAAGUGGGGGACUGUGUUUGUGGUUUCCCCUG